This 498-nucleotide ribosomal RNA is filed under the name Triticum aestivum (bread wheat). RNAcentral describes it as "partial small subunit ribosomal RNA". The record is from RNAcentral. Lineage: Eukaryota; Viridiplantae; Streptophyta; Magnoliopsida; Poales; Poaceae.
AUGGACUUCAGCAAAUACUUGACGGAGAUAGACACUGCAGAUGCAGUCUCAUCUCACAAUGGUGGUACGCUCAUUGUUGUUACUGGAUCGUUAACCGCGCCUGAUGGCGUUUGCACAAACUUUACGCAGUCGUUCUUCCUUGCACCACAAGAAGGUGGUGGCUGUUUUGUUCUCAAUGACAUAUUUAGAAUUAUGCCUAAAACGUCACGACUUGUGACAAGUCAAUCCGAUAGUCAAGAAAAUGACAUCAAGGAGAAUGUCGGAUCUACAGUUGAAUCAAGAGAGGCAGAACAAGUGAAGACUGGCCAUGUACCAGUGGAGAAUAAGGUUGGAGACUUGGAAGUUCCAAACCCCUCAGCUAAUGUCACAACAUAUGAAAAUUAUGAUGGCACCGAGCCACUUGUGCAAGCGACCAAAGAGGAUCUUGAAGGGACUCAUGAUGCUUUUCCUCCUAAACCUCAACCUCAUAAGGAUGCUACUGGCAGCUCUUACGCAUAA